GCGGCGGACGGGUGAGUAACACGUGGGCAACCUGCCCUGCAGACUGGGAUAACUUCGGGAAACCGGAGCUAAUACCGGAUAACACCGAAAACCGCAUGGUUUUCGGUUGAAAGGCGGCUUUUACCUGUCACUGCAGGAUGGGCCCGCGGCGCAUUACCUAGUUGGUGAGGUAACGGCUCACCAAGGCGACAAUGCGUAGCCAACCUGAAAGGGUGACCGGCCACACUGGGACUGAGACACGGCCCAAACUCCUACGGGAGGCAGCAGUAGGGAAUCUUCCGCAAUGGACGAAAGUCUGACGGAGCAACGCCGCGUGAGCGAAGAAGGUCUUCGGAUCGUAAAGCUCUGUUGUCAGGGAAGAACAAGUGCCGUUCGAACAGGGCGGUACCUUGACGGUACCUGACGAGGAAGCCACGGCUAACUACGUGCCAGCAGCCGCGGUAAUAC
RNAcentral lists this ribosomal RNA (447 nucleotides) under Aeribacillus sp. H01D013. RNAcentral describes it as "bacterial SSU rRNA". It matches the Rfam family "Bacterial small subunit ribosomal RNA", at positions 95 to 526 of the family's 1533-position model. Lineage: Bacteria; Bacillati; Bacillota; Bacilli; Caryophanales; Bacillaceae. The record is from RNAcentral.